Molecule: long non-coding RNA, 3279 nt
Organism: Physeter macrocephalus (sperm whale)
Lineage: Eukaryota; Metazoa; Chordata; Mammalia; Artiodactyla; Physeteridae
Exons: 4
Source: RefSeq, a predicted model, not a curated record
CCCUCACCCCCGUCCUGACCCCCAGGAGGCUCUGAAGUUGGGGUUCUUCCUCCCACGGAGCCAGGCCCGCAGACGGGUCUCAAAUGGUACCUGAACGUCCUGAUCGGGGUCUCGGUGGCCUUCGUCCUGCUGUUCCUCGUCCUCCUCUUCCUCCUCGGCCGACACCGGGGUCAGGGAAGACGCAGGCAGUCGGGUGAGUAGGGAACGGGGUGACCCAGGCCCCUGCAGGUGGUGGGCUUAGGGCACCAGCCAAAGGGAAACCUAAGAGAUGGGCAAGGUCAGCUUAGAAAAAGAUUGUCCAGAGUCUGAAACUCAAAAGUCUAGAAAGAAAACACGUCCUGUCCGCUGACAUGUAUAAUUUAAGAUAUGUUCCUCCUUUUCAAUCUCAUGAAGGGUUGAAACAUGUACGCAAGUAUGAGUUCCGGUCUCCUUCUUUCCCCCUGAAUCCCGUGUGAGGGGCGGGGGUCGUAACAGUCCCAGGGCCGAGCCUCCGUCAUCUGCCCCAGCCCAGGGCGAGGCUGAUUUCCACCCUCCCGCAGGGGCUGCAGACCCAGAGCCCAAGGACAGAGGCCUGCAGAGCAGCUCCUGCCCAGCCGCCGCCGCCCAGGACCAGGCCCUCUAUGCUGCCGUGAAGGACACACAGCCUGAGGAGGCGGAGCAGCCGGACCAUCCGGUGAGACCCCUGCUCCUGUCCGGGCCACCAAAGACCUUCUUGUUGCCAAACUCAGCCCAAUGGACACGUCUCCGUCCUCACAUCCCAGCCCCAGCAGCGUCCCACACUGACCUCUCCCUCCGGGCUUCCUGGGUCGUCCUGCUGCGACUCCACCCCUCCCGCUUCCCUGUGACCUCAUGGCCCCUCCUUCGGGGUCCCCUUUCCUGGCUCCUCGCCCUCUGUCUGACCUUCUGGCGUUGCAGAGAAGCCCCACGUCUCAAGAGGAUAUGUGAAUAAGUGAAUCACCUGAAAGUCCCCAGGUCCCCUUCCCUCAUUCACCCAAAAGUGGUGCACAAGGAGAGCACAUCCCCCCGGCUCCCUGUACAUGCUGCACGUGCAGCAGGGAGCUCACCGGGUGGGUGAGAGAGACUGUAUGUAAAAAAGCAGGUAGUGUUCUAGAAUGCAAGGUCCUGAUAAGGAAAGUAAAGCAAGAGAAGGUGACAGAGUGCAUGGGGGGGCAGCAAGUGCUAAGGUCCUGAGGCAGGGACAUGCUUUCUCAAGAAGAUGGCCGUGCGGCUGCAGCCAAAAGAACAAGAGAGAUAACGUGUUAACACAGAAAUCAGAACGGUAGAAAGAAUCCAGAGGCUCCAAGGUGUUAGGAAGGUCCCCGGAGUUUCCAUCAGGAAAGUGACCUGCCCUAAGGUUCUAAAGCAUCACUCUGGCAACACAGGGGAAAGCUGACGGGAGGAGAUCACAGUGGAUCCAGGAAGUCCCCUUUCUGUCCUACUCUCUCCCUCCAGCAGAACAGGCAGGAUGCAGACCCCCGGGAGGGGACGGACGCCCAGGUGAACCACUCAAGAUCAGGACUAAGGCGGGGGGUGGCCACUUCUCCUUCCUCCCUGUCAGGGAGAUUGCUGGACACGAAGGACAGACAAGCGGAAGAGGACGUGCAGAGGGAGAGUCAGGUGGGUCCCUUCCUGUCUGGGCCCCCAGGCUUCCCCCACCCCAACCACACACCCUCCCUCUCCCCCACCGCCGGCCGUCGCAUCUGAAGCCCCCCAGGAUGUGACCUCUGCCCAGCUGAACCACUCGACCUUCAGACGGGAGACUGCACCCCCUGCCCCCCAGUCAGGGGAGCCCCCAGAAGAGCCCAGCGUGUAUGCUUCUCUCGCCGUCCGCUAGCCCAGGAAGGACCCAGACCCCAUGCUCCAGGGAGGAAGACUGCACGGACCCUGGAAGGCACAGGAGCUGCCCGCAGUGGACACCACCUAAUGACCAUUAGCCUGGACUCCCAACCAGGAGCUCCUGGGACCUUUUGGGAGUCACCGGAUUCUACCUUCAAAGAUAACUAAUAUCCUUACAUUUGGGAAAUAAUGCAACAGACUUCUCAAAAAUCGAUGUGUGAAGGAAACCAAAAUCAAAGCCAACAAGAAAACAAAACAGAAGUGGGAAAAUGUUUUCAAUGAAUGAUAAUGUAAAUAAUACACAUCAAACCUACGAAUUGAGAAAAUUAAGAAUCAUGAAUGAAUAUAUUAGAAAAGCCUUUAAAGAAAUCGACGACGUAACGUAUCACACCAAGACUUUAGGAAAAAAUAGCAAAUUAUUUCAAAUGAAGGUAGAAGGCGGGAAUAAUAAUGACAAGGGUAGCUAAUAAUGAAGACAAUCAAGAAGUAGAGAAAAUCAAUUAAGGCAAAAAAUAAACUCAUUCUUGAAAACAUUCAUGAAUCCUAGCCACCAUGGCCGAGGGAAAAAGAGAGAAGGCACACAUUUCUAAUAUGAUGAAAGAAACUGCAGACAGCACUACAAAUCCUACAGACUUUAUAAAGAUAGGAACAGAACAUUAUGAAAAAUUUGACGCCAACAUACAGAAAAUGUAGAUGGAAUGGAAAUCUUUCAGUGUACAAUUUACUAAAUGGACGUAAUAAAUGGACAAUCUAUCACCUUAUACAUUGACUCUAAUCAAAAAUUACACACGACUGAACUAGAAUCUAAAAAUGUCACAAUGAAAGAAAUAGAGAGUAGAAUGGUGGUUACCGGGCUUGGAGCGAGGGGGAAAUGGGAAGAUACUGGUCAAAGGGCACAAGCUUCCAGUUAUAAGAUGAAUAAAUUCUGGGGAUCUACUAUACAGCAUGGUGGUUAUAGCUAAUCACACUGUAUCCCAUUCUUGAGUGUUCUGAAGAGAGUAGAUCUUAAAUGUUCUCACCAAAAAAAGAAAUGGCAACUAUGUGAUGGGAUGGAGACAAAUGCUAUGGUGGUCAUCAUUUUCCGAUGUGUAAGUGUACAGUUCAGGAGGCUUCACUGGUGAUUUCUUCCAAGCACUUAUGUACUCAUGAAAGACACACAUGCACACACCCCAAAAUUGCACAAACAUUUCCUGAGAACAGUAAAGAAGAAACAUAUCUCAACACAUCAGACCAGGAAAAUAUUUACACCAAAACCUGACAAGGGAAUUAUACAUGGGAAAGUUACAGGAGGAUCUCUCACAUGAGCUUAGAUGGAAAUCCCUAAACAAAGUGAACACAAAUAAGAUUUAGUGAUAUAUUAAAAGAACAUUACUUCAUGACCAUACUGUGGGGUGUUUUUUUUUUGAAGGGUAGAGUAGCUUAAAAUUUUUAAAAUCUAUCACA